This 85-nucleotide transfer RNA is filed under the name Candidatus Yonathbacteria bacterium RIFOXYC1_FULL_52_10. RNAcentral's name for it is "tRNA-Leu". It matches the Rfam family "tRNA". Rfam says of the family: Transfer RNA (tRNA) molecules are approximately 80 nucleotides in length. Lineage: Bacteria; Candidatus Yonathiibacteriota. The record is from RNAcentral. RNAcentral also lists the same sequence under 1 other name.
GGGCGUGUGGCGGAAUUGGUAUACGCGUACGUCUCAGAAGCGUAUGGAGUAAUCCUUGGGAGUUCGAGUCUCCCCACGCCCACCA